Molecule: transfer RNA, 89 nt
Filed under: prasinophyte sp. MBIC10622
Lineage: Eukaryota; Viridiplantae; Chlorophyta
Description: tRNA-Ser
Rfam family: tRNA
About the family: Transfer RNA (tRNA) molecules are approximately 80 nucleotides in length.
Source: RNAcentral
GGAAGGAUGGCUGAGUGGUUUAAAGCGGCGGAUUGCUAAUCCGUUGUAUGUUUUCUUACAUACCGGGGGUUCGAAUCCCCCUCUUUCCG